AAUAGCUCACUAGUCGAGUGACUCUGCGCCGAAAAUGUACCGGGGCUAAGCAUAUUACCGAAGCUAUGGAUGCAUCCAUCAGGAUGCGUGGUAGGAGAGCGUUCCAAGGGCGAUGAAGUCAGACCGUAAGGACUGGUGGAGCGCUUGGAAGUGAGAAUGCCGGUAUGAGUAGCGAAAGACAGGUGAGAAUCCUGUCCACCGAAUGACUAAGGUUUCCUGGGGAAGGCUCGUCCUCCCAGGGUUAGUCGGGACCUAAGUCGAGGCCGAGAGGCGUAGACGAUGGACAACAGGUUGAUAUUCCUGUACCAGUUGAUUGUGCUUGAGUGAUGGAGUGACGCAGAAGGCUAAGCGAUCCGGACGAUUGGAAGUGUCCGGCCAAGCAGCAAGUCAGUUGAUGAGUCAAAUGCUUAUCAGCGAGUUGACAAGCUGUGAUGGGGAGCGAAAUUAUAGUAGCGAAGUCGUUGAUGUCACGCUGCCGAGAAAAGCUUCUAGCGAAUAAUCAACUGCCCGUACCGCAAACCGACACAGGUAGUCGAGGAGAGUAUCCUAAGGUGAGCGAGCGAACUCUCGUUAAGGAACUCGGCAAAAUGACCCCGUAACUUCGGGAGAAGGGGUGCUGAUCGCAAGAUCAGCCGCAGUGAAAAGGCCCAGGCGACUGUUUAUCAAAAACACAGGUUUCUGCAAAAUCGUAAGAUGAAGUAUAGGGGCUGACGCCUGCCCGGUGCUGGAAGGUUAAAAGGAAGAGUUAGCUUCGGCGAAGCCCUGAAUUGAAGCCCCAGUAAACGGCGGCCGUAACUAUAACGGUCCUAAGGUAGCGAAAUUCCUUGUCGGGUAAGUUCCGACCCGCACGAAAGGCGUAACGAUCUGGGCACUGUCUCAACGAGAGACUCGGUGAAAUUGAAUUGCCUGUGAAGAUGCAGGCUACCCGCGACAGGACGGAAAGACCCCAUGGAGCUUUACUGUAGCUUGAUAUUGAGUGCUUGUACUGCUUGUACAGGAUAGGUAGGAGCCAUAGAAGCCAGGACGCUAGUUUUGGCAGAGGCGUUGGUGGGAUACUACCCUUGCAUUAUGAUCACUCUAACCCGCACCACUGAUCGUGGUGGGAGACAGUGUCAGGUGGGCAGUUUGACUGGGGCGGUCGCCUCCCAAAAGAUAACGGAGGCGCCCAAAGGUUCGCUCAGAAUGGUUGGAAAUCAUUCGCAGAGUGUAAAGGCACAAGCGAGCUUGACUGCGAGACAGACAGGUCGAGCAGGGACGAAAGUCGGGCUUAGUGAUCCGGUGGUUCCGCAUGGAAGGGCCAUCGCUCAACGGAUAAAAGCUACCCUGGGGAUAACAGGCUUAUCUCCCCCAAGAGUUCACAUCGACGGGGAGGUUUGGCACCUCGAUGUCGGCUCGUCGCAUCCUGGGGCUGUAGUCGGUCCCAAGGGUUGGGCUGUUCGCCCAUUAAAGCGGUACGCGAGCUGGGUUCAGAACGUCGUGAGACAGUUCGGUCCCUAUCCGUCGCGGGCGUAGGAAAUUUGAGAGGACCUGUCCUUAGUACGAGAGGACCGGGAUGGACAUACCGCUGGUGUACCAGUUGUUCCGCCAGGAGCAUCGCUGGGUAGCUAUGUAUGGAUGAGAUAAACGCUGAAAGCAUCUAAGCGUGAAACUCGCCUCAAGAUGAGAUUUCCCAUUCCUUAU
RNAcentral lists this ribosomal RNA (1680 nucleotides) under metagenome. RNAcentral's name for it is "bacterial LSU rRNA". It matches the Rfam family "Bacterial large subunit ribosomal RNA", at positions 1136 to 2824 of the family's 2925-position model. The record is from RNAcentral.